This 372-nucleotide transfer-messenger RNA is filed under the name Agromyces cerinus. RNAcentral's name for it is "Standard tmRNA". It matches the Rfam family "transfer-messenger RNA". Rfam says of the family: Bacterial tmRNA, also known as 10Sa RNA or SsrA, is named for its dual tRNA and mRNA-like properties. Its role is to liberate the mRNA from a stalled ribosome. RNAcentral also lists the same sequence under 4 other names. The record is from RNAcentral. Lineage: Bacteria; Bacillati; Actinomycetota; Actinomycetes; Micrococcales; Microbacteriaceae.
GGGGAUGAUCGGUUUCGACAUCGUCUGCGAACCCACGAGAAGCGGGCCGAGGAUCCAGGGUUAUCUCGUAAACGAUCUCUGGAAAACAAUAAGUGCCAAUGCAAAGCGCACUGACUUCGCCCUCGCUGCAUAAGCGAGCCCGAUAGUCCGUCAGCCCGCGGGUCUGUUCCCGCCCCGGUAGCUGGCGUCAUCUAGGGAACUUGCUGCGUGUGGUCGCCUGAGCGACACGCGGGACUUCAUUCAGGCUGGGCCCGUCGACCUAGGCGCCUGUGGCAAAGGUCGGGGCCGAGUAGAACGCUUGCACAGGCUGCGCCCGGAGAAGGCGUGGAAUCACAGCGAUGGACGGGGGUUCAAUUCCCCCCAUCUCCACCA